UUUUAUAAUGCAUUUAAUGGCCUUCACACAAAAUAAAACAUAGCACAAAAUACAUGACAACAACAUGGACAUACUCAGAUCUAAAAUAAACUAGACUUCACAAGGAAUCUAACACAACAAGAAUCAUAUUUUUAGCAUUUUUCUACUAGUUUCUAUGCAUUUUCAAAGGUUGCAACAUUUAAAACUAGCCAUUUUAAAAACUAGUCCGAAACUAAUUGCAAGCUACCCCCUAGAAAAAUCUUCUCUCUCACGGAUCUAUCCUUUUUCUUUCAAUCUACCCCCUGCGUUUCACUAUCUAGCCCCUUGAAAGAUUCCACCUUCAAACAUAAAACCAAACUUUAUGGAUAACCCCGUGAACUUCUAUCUUCUCCUCCACACAGGUCCUCACGCAUAACAG
Molecule: long non-coding RNA, 397 nt
Filed under: Setaria viridis
Lineage: Eukaryota; Viridiplantae; Streptophyta; Magnoliopsida; Poales; Poaceae
Description: long non-coding RNA (SVIR_LNC000612)
Source: RNAcentral